CUCUCUGUACCGUACGCCUGCCUUGAAGGCGCAGACUGCUUGAUGCUCGGUGACGUUCUCCACCGUGUGGUAGAGAGUUGUCCAACGCUGGACGAAGUCGCGCAGGGGCUCAUUCGGCUUGUGGACACAGUGCUGGAGCUCCACAAGGCCUGCAGGGCGUUUGCACGUCCCUUCGAAGGUCCUGAUGAAUACUCGGGCCAGAUCUGCCCAACUGUAAAUGCUCGAGGGGGCCAACUGGUUUAGCCACGCUCGCGCCGAGCCGUCGAGCAUCAGAGGGAGGUGCUUCAUAGCGACAUGGUCGUCCCCUCCUCCGAUCUGGACUGCCACUCGAUAGUCAUCCAGCCAUGUUUCCGGCUUGGACUCUCAUGUAAACUUACUGAUUCCCGCUGCCAAUC
Molecule: long non-coding RNA, 395 nt
Filed under: Hordeum vulgare
Lineage: Eukaryota; Viridiplantae; Streptophyta; Magnoliopsida; Poales; Poaceae
Description: long non-coding RNA (HVUL_LNC002227)
Source: RNAcentral